CACGUAGGGGGCAAGCGUUGUCCGGAUUUAUUGGGCGUAAAGAGCUCGUAGGUGGUUCGGUGAGUCGGGUGUUAAACCCCCAGGCUCAACCUGGGGACGCCACUCGAUACUGCUGUGACUAGAGUCCGGUAGGGGAGCGUGGAAUUCCUGGUGUAGCGGUGAAAUGCGCAGAUAUCAGGAGGAACACCAGCGGCGAAGGCGGCGCUCUGGGCCGGUACUGACACUGAGGAGCGAAAGCGUGGGUAGCAAACAGG
Molecule: ribosomal RNA, 254 nt
Filed under: uncultured bacterium
Lineage: Bacteria
Description: partial 16S ribosomal RNA
Rfam family: Bacterial small subunit ribosomal RNA
Source: RNAcentral